GCUCAAUUCACUACCAGGUUCUGUAGCUGCAUCUCUCUGUGUGUGCUCGGGUGGGGUGGGGACAGAGGUCAUCACUGCGGCAGUGUGGAGCACCCACCCCCAGAAGAGCAAGGCCAAGCAUGCGUGGUGAACUUGGCCUCGAGAAUGGAGACACACUGGGAAAGCGAGGGUUAACUUUUCCAGGCCUGGGACAGCCCGCCUCCUUGUGGAAGAGACCCUGGGCUGGCAGGGUGGGACCAUCUUUGUUCAGCCCCCUGGGUCUAGACAAAGUGGGUCAUUUGGGAUACCUCUGAAUGCCUGGCGUGUUCCACUCAGGUCACUCUGGCUGCUGUGAGGAAACUAAAUUGAAGGGGACAAGACUGGACGGCGAGGGACCAGCUGGGAAGCUCUUGAGAAAUGGCAAGUUGGCCGCCAGCAGCUCCGAGUUGACACCUGACCAGCUCAACAAGCGCGGCAAAUAGAGGAAUUCUCUUCUCAGCAGUCCCUGCCCAAGCCCCAGGGCUGGCUCUCAUGGACAGCUUGGACCACCAUGGCGGCCGGGAUGGAGUACGCUGGCUGGCCAGGUCUGACUGACCGGUCUCCCUCUGGAGCGGAAGGGCGAGGU
RNAcentral lists this long non-coding RNA (604 nucleotides) under Equus caballus (horse). Its description in RNAcentral is "lncRNA (ENSECAG00000045322.1)". The record is from RNAcentral. Lineage: Eukaryota; Metazoa; Chordata; Mammalia; Perissodactyla; Equidae.